AAAAAAAUUCUAUUCAUAAUUUAAAAAUUCAAAUCCACGUCGGUUAUAUUAAACAUAACGACGUUAAAUGAAAAGAUUCCACGUCGAAAAACAAAUAUUGCGUCGUGUUAGUUAAAAACGACGGCAUAACAAAAAACCGUCGUUGUUUCAAACUGAAUUAAUUUAAAAUUUAUUCGGGAAAGCAAAAUCUAUUUAUAAUUUCCUCGGGUUAGUAAUAUUGCGUCGUGUUAGUUUACAAAUUCAAGAACAUUAAUUUCCCUCAUUUUAAAUUUCCUCGGGAAAGAAAAAUCUAUUUAUCACGCUUUGUAAUUGAAAACUAAAACUGAAAGAAUUCGGGAAAAAAAACUCUAUUUAUAAUUUAAAAAUAAAAUCCACGUCGGUUG
RNAcentral lists this long non-coding RNA (383 nucleotides) under Prunus persica (peach). Its description in RNAcentral is "long non-coding RNA (PPER_LNC002366)". The record is from RNAcentral. Lineage: Eukaryota; Viridiplantae; Streptophyta; Magnoliopsida; Rosales; Rosaceae.